RNAcentral lists this ribosomal RNA (355 nucleotides) under uncultured bacterium. RNAcentral describes it as "bacterial SSU rRNA". It matches the Rfam family "Bacterial small subunit ribosomal RNA", at positions 28 to 405 of the family's 1533-position model. The record is from RNAcentral.
GAUGAACGCUGGCGGCGUGCCUAAUACAUGCAAGUCGAGCGGUAACACUUCGGGUGACGAGCGGCGGACGGCAGAGUAACGCGUAGGAACGUACCCCAAACUGAGGGAUAAGCACCGGAAACGGUGUCUAAUACCGCAUAUUAUUUUCGAAUCAAAGCCUUCGGGCGGUUUGGGAGCGGCCUGCGUAUGAUUAGUUAGUUGGUGAGGUAACGGCUCACCAAGACGACGAUCAUUAGCNGGUCUGAGAGGAUGAUCAGCCUGACUGGAACUGAGACACGGUCCAGACUCCUACGGGAGGCAGCAGUAGGGAAUUUUCCGCAAUGGGCGAAAGCCUGACGGAGCAACGCCGCGUGCA